Molecule: signal recognition particle RNA, 99 nt
Filed under: Anaerolineae bacterium
Lineage: Bacteria; Bacillati; Chloroflexota; Anaerolineae
Description: signal recognition particle sRNA small type
Rfam family: Bacterial small signal recognition particle RNA
About the family: The signal recognition particle (SRP) is a universally conserved ribonucleoprotein involved in the co-translational targeting of proteins to membranes.
Source: RNAcentral
GGGCAGGCUCGGCGCGGCGGAAGACUCCCAACCCCGCCAGGUCCGAAAGGAAGCAACGGUACGGAACUCUCUCUGGGUGCCGCCGAUUUCCUGCUCAGG